RNAcentral lists this ribosomal RNA (499 nucleotides) under uncultured bacterium. RNAcentral's name for it is "bacterial SSU rRNA". It matches the Rfam family "Bacterial small subunit ribosomal RNA", at positions 15 to 507 of the family's 1533-position model. The record is from RNAcentral.
GAUCAUGGCUCAGGAUGAACGCUAGCGGCAGGCUUAAUCAUGCAAGUCGUGGGGCAGCAGGUUUGUAGCAAUACAGAUGCUGGCGACCGGCAAACGGGUGCGGAACACGUACAGAACCUUCCUUUGAGCGGGGAAUAGCCCAGAGAAAUUUGGAUUAAUACCCCAUAGUAUAAUGAAGUGGCAUCACUUUAUUAUUAAAGAUUUAUCACUCGAAGAUGGCUGUGCGGCUGAUUAGGUAGUUGGCGGGGUAAAGGCCCACCAAGCCUGCGAUCAGUAACUGGUGUGAGAGCACGACCAGUCACACGGGCACUGGGACACGGGCCCGACUCCUACGGGAGGCAGCAGUAAGGAAUAUUGGUCAAUGGAGGCAACUCUGAACCAGCCAUGCCGCGUGGAGGAUGAAGGUCCUCUGGAUUGUAAACUUCUUUUAUAUGGGACGAAAAAGGCUUUUCUAAGUCGUCUGACGGUACCAUAUGAAUAAGCACCGGCUAACUCCGUG